Molecule: ribosomal RNA, 1371 nt
Filed under: uncultured bacterium
Lineage: Bacteria
Description: bacterial SSU rRNA
Rfam family: Bacterial small subunit ribosomal RNA
Source: RNAcentral
GAUGAACGCUGGCGGCGUGCCUAAUACAUGCAAGUCGAGCGAACGGACGAGAAGCUUGCUUCUCUGAUGUUAGCGGCGGACGGGUGAGUAACACGUGGAUAACCUACCUAUAAGACUGGGAUAACUUCGGGAAACCGGAGCUAAUACCGGAUAAUAUUUUGAACCGCAUGGUUCAAAAGUGAAAGACGGUCUUGCUGUCACUUAUAGAUGGAUCCGCGCUGCAUUAGCUAGUUGGUAAGGUAACGGCUUACCAAGGCAACGAUGCAUAGCCGACCUGAGAGGGUGAUCGGCCACACUGGAACUGAGACACGGUCCAGACUCCUACGGGAGGCAGCAGUAGGGAAUCUUCCGCAAUGGGCGAAAGCCUGACGGAGCAACGCCGCGUGAGUGAUGAAGGUCUUCGGAUCGUAAAACUCUGUUAUUAGGGAAGAACAUAUGUGUAAGUAACUGUGCACAUCUUGACGGUACCUAAUCAGAAAGCCACGGCUAACUACGUGCCAGCAGCCGCGGGUAUACGUAGGUGGCAAGCGUUAUCCGGAAAUAUUUGGGCGUAAAGCGCGCGUAGCGGUUUUUUAGUCUGAUGUGAAAGCCCACGGCUCAAUCGUGGAGGGUCAUUGGAAACUGGAAAACUUGAGUGCAGAAGAGGAAAGUGGAAUUCCAUGUGUAGCGGUGAAAUGCGCAGAGAUAUGGAGGAACACCAGUGGCGAAGGCGACUUUCUGGUCUGUAACUGACGCUGAUGUGCGAAAGCGUGGGGAUCAAACAGGAUUAGAUACCCUGGUAGUCCACGCCGUAAACGAUGAGUGCUAAGUGUUAGGGGGUUUCCGCCCCUUAGUGCUGCAGCUAACGCAUUAAGCACUCCGCCUGGGGAGUACGACCGCAAGGUCGAAACUCAAAGGAAUUGACGGGGACCCGCACAAGCGGUGGAGCAUGUGGUUUAAUUCGAAGCAACGCGAAGAACCUUACCAAAUCUUGACAUCCUUUGACAACUCUAGAGAUAGAGCCUUCCCCUUCGGGGGACAAAGUGACAGGUGGUGCAUGGUUGUCGUCAGCUCGUGUCGUGAGAUGUUGGGUUAAGUCCCGCAACGAGCGCAACCCUUAAGCUUAGUUGCCAUCAUUAAGUUGGGCACUCUAAGUUGACUGCCGGUGACAAACCGGAGGAAGGUGGGGAUGACGUCAAAUCAUCAUGCCCCUUAUGAUUUGGGCUACACACGUGCUACAAUGGACAAUACAAAGGGCAGCGAAACCGCGAGGUCAAGCAAAUCCCAUAAAGUUGUUCUCAGUUCGGAUUGUAGUCUGCAACUCGACUACAUGAAGCUGGAAUCGCUAGUAAUCGUAGAUCAGCAUGCUACGGUGAAUACGUUCCCGGGUCU